GGGGCUGAUUCUGGAUUCGACGGGAUUUGCGAAGCCCAAGGUGCAUGCCGAGGGGCGGUUGGCCUCGUAAAAAGCCGCAAAAAAUAGUCGCAAACGACGAAAACUACGCUUUAGCAGCUUAAUAACCUGCUUAAAGCCCUCUCUCCCUAGCCUCCGCUCUUAGGACGGGGAUCAAGAGAGGUCAAACCCAAAAGAGAUCGCGUGGAAGCCCUGCCUGGGGUUGAAGCGUUAAAACUUAAUCAGGCUAGUUUGUUAGUGGCGUGUCCGUCCGCAGCUGGCAAGCGAAUGUAAAGACUGACUAAGCAUGUAGUACCGAGGAUGUAGGAAUUUCGGACGCGGGUUCAACUCCCGCCAGCUCCACCA
This 363-nucleotide transfer-messenger RNA is filed under the name Escherichia coli. RNAcentral describes it as "Standard tmRNA". It matches the Rfam family "transfer-messenger RNA". From Rfam's summary of the family: Bacterial tmRNA, also known as 10Sa RNA or SsrA, is named for its dual tRNA and mRNA-like properties. Its role is to liberate the mRNA from a stalled ribosome. Lineage: Bacteria; Pseudomonadati; Pseudomonadota; Gammaproteobacteria; Enterobacterales; Enterobacteriaceae. The record is from RNAcentral.